This 253-nucleotide ribosomal RNA is filed under the name uncultured bacterium. Its description in RNAcentral is "partial 16S ribosomal RNA". It matches the Rfam family "Bacterial small subunit ribosomal RNA", at positions 524 to 776 of the family's 1533-position model. The record is from RNAcentral.
UACAGAGGUCCCAAGCGUUGCUCGGAUUCAUUGGGCGUAAAGGGUGCGUAGGCGGCGCGGUAAGUCGGGUGUGAAAUCUCGGAGCUUAACUCCGAAACUGCAUUCGAUACUGCCGUGCUUGAGGACUGGAGAGGAGACUGGAAUUUACGGUGUAGCGGUGAAAUGCGUAGAUAUCGUAAGGAAGACCAGUGGCGAAGGCGGGUCUCUGGACAGUUCCUGACGCUGAGGCACGAAGGUCAGGGGAGCAAACGGG